UGGGGAAUUUUGGACAAUGGGGGAAACCCUGAUCCAGCCAUGCCGCGUGAGUGAAGAAGGCCUUCGGGUUGUAAAGCUCUUUCAGCCGGAACGAAACGGUCACGGCUAAUACCUGUGACUACUGACGGUACCGGAAGAAGAAGCACCGGCUAACUACGUGCCAGCAGCCGCGGUAAUACGUAGGGUGCAAGCGUUAAUCGGAAUUACUGGGCGUAAAGCGUGCGCAGGCGGUUUUGUAAGUCAGAUGUGAA
RNAcentral lists this ribosomal RNA (251 nucleotides) under uncultured Nitrosovibrio sp. RNAcentral describes it as "partial 16S ribosomal RNA". It matches the Rfam family "Bacterial small subunit ribosomal RNA", at positions 355 to 598 of the family's 1533-position model. Lineage: Bacteria; Pseudomonadati; Pseudomonadota; Betaproteobacteria; Nitrosomonadales; Nitrosomonadaceae. The record is from RNAcentral.